UCGUGGCCCAGUGGGUAGAGUGAUGCACUUGGAGUUUGGCGUGAGGGAAGUGAGGGGCGCGUAGGUUCGAACCCCCCUCUCGGAACUCACAAAAACCUUCAAAGAGCAUCCCUCCAUCACCAUGUGUGCCUCAAACACACAGGUACGGUGAUGGAGCUGCCCACGGGGAGGAGGGGAGGUGAGUGCGCAGCACCUCCCUACCCCUCCCCAGGGGAGGAAGGCACCGCCUUACCGCCCCCGGGAGAGCAAGGGAGGUGAGUGCACAGCGCUUCCCUUCUCUCCCCUACCUAACCCUGGCAAGUCUACGGACUACCAGGCAAAAAAUAAUAAAAACAAAAAAAAAAAUAAAAAAAUAAAAAAAUAAAAAAAUAAAAAAUAAAUAAAAAUAAAGAUAAGUGCAUAGCAUUUCCCUUCUCUCCACCUAACAGAAAAAAAUAAUAAUAAUAAAAAUUAAGGUGAGUGCAUAGCAGUUCCCUUCUCUCCCAACCUUCCACGCAAAAAAAAAAUAAAUAAAUAAAUGAAAUAAAAUAAAAUAAAAUAAAUAAAUAAAUAAGGCAAAUAAGUAAAUAAAUGAAUAAAAUAAAAAUAAAAACCUCCCUACCACCUCGGACCUCGGGAGAGCAAGAGAGGUGAGUGCACAGCACUUCCCUUCUCUCCCCAAGUCUACGGACUACCACACCAAAAAGAAUAAAAUAUAUAUAGGUAUAAAGAAAAGAACAAUAAAAUAAAUAGAAAAUAAAAUAAAAUAGAUAAAUAAAAUAAAAUUAACAAAAAAUAAAUAAAGUAAAAAACAUAAAACUCCUACUCCCCCCGUCAAUAAAAGUGACUGAGUCUGGCAAUCAACAAUAAAUAAUAAAAAUAAAUCAAUACCAACCUGACUGAUCCUGACAACUCCAAAGACCACCACCCCACCUGUGAAGCACGGGAGGUGAGUGUGCAGCACCUCCCUACCCUUCCCAGUCUCCCAGUUUGACUUUGACCAACAAUCUGACUCAUUCUGGCAACUCCAACUGUACAGACCACCACCAGUACUCCAGUACUCCCCACCCUGGCAACUGAUCCUGGCAAGGUGAGUGCGUAGCACUUCCCGUGACUCAUCCUGGUAUGCACGGGAGGUGAGUGUGCAGCACCUCCCUACCCUUCCCAGUCUCCCAUCAAUCUGACUCAUCCUACCAACUCCAAAGAGCAACUCCAACUGUACAGACCACCACCACCACCACCCCUCUGAUCUUGGCAAGGUGAGUGCGUAGCACUUCCCUUGUCUGACCCUGACUGACUGACCCUGGCAGCUCAAAAAAACAAACAACCUGCCUGAUUUACAGAUAUGUAAUCACCAAACUGACUGGCCCUGGGGAGCAUGUGAGGUGAGUGUGCAGCACCUCCCUACACUUCCCAGUCUCCCAGUUUGACCUUACUCAUCCUGGCAACUUCUAAGAGCAACUCUCUGACACUGUGACUCUGAUCCCUACAUCCCUACAUCUUACCCUGUCCAGGGUAGGUGAGUGCGUAGCACUUCCCUACCACCAGCCUGACUGACCCUGGCAACUCUAAAAACAACCAUCCUGACUGACUUACAAAUCUUACUCUAAUCUGGCAACAGACCACCAAAUUGACUGACCGUGGGGAGCAUGGGAGGUGAGUGUGCAGCACCUCCCUACCCUUCCCAGUCUCCCAGUUUGACUUCCACCACCAAUGUGACUCAUCCUACCAGCUCCAAAUCUACCACCACCACCACCCCUCUGAUCUUGGCAAGGUGAGUGCGUAGCACUUCCCUGGGCUUGACUGAUCCUGGCAACUCCAAAAAUAACCAACCUGACAGAUGUUACAAAUGUAACCUGGGGAGCAUGGGAGGUGAGUGUGCAGCACCUCCCUACCCUUCCCAGUCUUCCACCAACUUGACUUGAAUUAUGACUGGGGAGCAUGGGAGGUGAGUGUGCAGCACCUACCUACCCUUCCCAGUCUUCCACCAACUUGACUUGAAUUA
Scylla paramamosain (green mud crab) is the source of this 1984-nucleotide long non-coding RNA. RefSeq lists it as uncharacterized. Lineage: Eukaryota; Metazoa; Arthropoda; Malacostraca; Decapoda; Portunidae. The transcript is spliced from 2 exons. The record is from RefSeq and is a predicted model, not a curated record.